This 496-nucleotide ribosomal RNA is filed under the name uncultured bacterium. Its description in RNAcentral is "partial 16S ribosomal RNA". It matches the Rfam family "Bacterial small subunit ribosomal RNA", at positions 29 to 523 of the family's 1533-position model. The record is from RNAcentral.
AUUGAACGCUGGCGGCAUGCCUUACACAUGCAAGUCGAACGGUAGAGGGGGCAACCCCUUGAGAGUGGCGAACGGGUGAGUAAUGCAUCGGAACGUGCCCAGUCGUGGGGGAUAGCCCGGGGAAACCCGGAUUAAUACCGCAUACGACCUGAGGGUGAAAGCGGGGGACCGAAAGGCCUCGCGCGAUUGGAGCGGCCGAUGUCGGAUUAGGUAGUUGGUGGGGUAAAGGCCUACCAAGCCUGCGAUCCGUAGCUGGGCUGAGAGGACGACCAGCCACACUGGGACUGAGACACGGCCCAGACUCCUACGGGAGGCAGCAGUGGGGAAUUUUGGACAAUGGGCGCAAGCCUGAUCCAGCCAUGCCGCGUGCGGGAAGAAGGCCUUCGGGUUGUAAACCGCUUUUGUCAGGGAAGAAAUCUCUUGGGUUAAUACCCUGGGGGGAUGACGGUACCUGAAGAAUAAGCACCGGCUAACUACGUGCCAGCCGCCGCGGUAA